Amphimedon queenslandica is the source of this 776-nucleotide long non-coding RNA. RefSeq lists it as uncharacterized. The record is from RefSeq and is a predicted model, not a curated record. NCBI's taxonomy places the organism in Eukaryota, Metazoa, Porifera, Demospongiae, Haplosclerida, Niphatidae. The transcript has 5 exons.
GCAUUUCCUGCCAAAGCCAUGGAGCCUAAAGAACUAAUACCCUGGACCCGCCAUUGUCAUUACUGAGGACAGGUAAAUGUAGAAUUAAUUAAGGAGGAUAUACAUUAUUAUAACUAUAAUUAAAUAAUGAGUACAUGUUCAUUCAAAAGUUUAUACUCCAAUAAGAUUCAUUAUAGAGGUGAACCUAAUGGAGUUAAAGGGGCUGAGGGUUUGUAAGUCUCGUUAGCCACUGGUUGCCAGACCAGCCUACAGUCAUUGGGUGGUAGCUGGGGAAUGGUCUGGCUAGUGAGACUAGGCCGGGGGGACAUGGAGCCUAAGGAACUGAUGAGUCUAAUACCCUGGAUCAGCAUUGGGAUGACUGGGGUCAGAUUCAUUUUUCAUCUUUGGAGUGCCAUUUAGAGACUUAAACAUCAGCCACUUGAUGUGUGAUUGGAAGAACUUGUAGAGAAAAUUUCUUUGUCGAUCACAUGAUAAAAUUGACUGGCAAGUAAGACAUGCGUUUGAAACACAGGGCAGCUGGUACUGCAAAAGAGGAUUAAUGAAAGAAUUGAUCUUAUGCAAUGUAAUGUUGCCUCCACGUGGCACUGCCUGGGAUCACUAUUGGCUACUACUGCUAGUGAUGCUAAGAGCACUACAGCUGAAAUAAUACAGGCAAAGUUUCAGAAGAAGAUGAUACGUGUAAAUUUAUAAAUGUAACUCAAGGAAGGUCAAAAGAUAUACCAAGAUCAACAGAAGUAUCAGCAAAAUCAGAUUCAGCCAAUUCCUCUGCCUGACUG